This 72-nucleotide transfer RNA is filed under the name Bacteroidaceae bacterium. Its description in RNAcentral is "tRNA-Gln". It matches the Rfam family "tRNA". Rfam says of the family: Transfer RNA (tRNA) molecules are approximately 80 nucleotides in length. Their secondary structure includes four short double-helical elements and three loops (D, anti-codon, and T loops). The record is from RNAcentral. Lineage: Bacteria; Pseudomonadati; Bacteroidota; Bacteroidia; Bacteroidales; Bacteroidaceae.
UGGGCCAUAGUAUAUCGGCUAACACGUCAGAUUUUGGUUCUGAAGAGCCAGGUUCGAUUCCUGGUGGCCCAA